This 540-nucleotide ribosomal RNA is filed under the name uncultured bacterium. Its description in RNAcentral is "bacterial SSU rRNA". It matches the Rfam family "Bacterial small subunit ribosomal RNA", at positions 777 to 1321 of the family's 1533-position model. The record is from RNAcentral.
AAUAGAUACCCCGGUAGUCCACGCCCUAAACGAUGUCUACUAGUUGUCGGGUCUUAAUUGACUUGGUAACGCAGCUAACGCGUGAAGUAGACCGCCUGGGGAGUACGGUCGCAAGAUUAAAACUCAAAGGAAUUGACGGGGACCCGCACAAGCGGUGGAUGAUGUGGAUUAAUUCGAUGCAACGCGAAAAACCUUACCUACCCUUGACAUGUCAGGAACCCUCGAGAGAUUGAGGGGUGCCCGGAAAGGGAGCCUGAACACAGGUGCUGCAUGGCUGUCGUCAGCUCGUGUCGUGAGAUGUUGGGUUAAGUCCCGCAACGAGCGCAACCCUUGUCAUUAGUUGCUACGAAAGGGCACUCUAAUGAGACUGCCGGUGACAAACCGGAGGAAGGUGGGGAUGACGUCAAGUCCUCAUGGCCCUUAUGGGUAGGGCUUCACACGUCAUACAAUGGUACAUACAGAGGGCCGCCAACCCGCGAGGGGGAGCUAAUCCCAGAAAGUGUAUCGUAGUCCGGAUCGCAGUCUGCAACUCGACUGCGU